GACAGAGGGUGCAAACGUUGUUCGGAAUUACUGGGCGUAAAGCGCGUGUAGGCGGCCCGGAAAGUCAGAUGUGAAAGCCCUGGGCUUAACCUAGGAAGUGCAUUCGAAACUCCCGUGGCUUGAGUUCUGGAGAGGGAAGCGGAAUUCUCGGUGUAGAGGUGAAAUUCGUAGAUAUCGAGAGGAACACCGGUGGCGAAGGCGGCUUCCUGGACAGUGACUGACGCUGAGACGCGAAAGCGUGGGGAGCAAACAGG
RNAcentral lists this ribosomal RNA (254 nucleotides) under uncultured bacterium. Its description in RNAcentral is "partial 16S ribosomal RNA". It matches the Rfam family "Bacterial small subunit ribosomal RNA", at positions 524 to 776 of the family's 1533-position model. The record is from RNAcentral.